GACGAACGCUGGCGGCGUGCUUAACACACGCAAGUCGAACGGAAAGGCCCUGCUUUUGUGGGGUGCUCGAGUGGCGAACGGGUGAGUAACACGUGAGUAACCUGCCCUUGACUUUGGGAUAACUUCAGGAAACUGGGGCUAAUACCGGAUAGGAGCUCCUGCUGCAUGGUGGGGGUUGGAAAGUUUCGGCGGUUGGGGAUGGACUCGCGGCUUAUCAGCUUGUUGGUGGGGUAGUGGCUUACCAAGGCUUUGACGGGUAGCCGGCCUGAGAGGGUGACCGGCCACAUUGGGACUGAGAUACGGCCCAGACUCCUACGGGAGGCAGCAGUGGGGAAUAUUGCACAAUGGGCGGAAGCCUGAAGCAGCAACGCAGCGUGCGGGAUGACGGCCUUCGGGUUGUAAACCGCUUUCGCCUGUGACGAAGCGUGAGUGACGGUAAUGGGUAAAGAAGCACCGGCUAACUACGUG
RNAcentral lists this ribosomal RNA (468 nucleotides) under uncultured bacterium. RNAcentral describes it as "partial 16S ribosomal RNA". It matches the Rfam family "Bacterial small subunit ribosomal RNA", at positions 28 to 507 of the family's 1533-position model. The record is from RNAcentral.